CUCCUCUAGCGCCUUAAUGGCCGCUUGGUUAAUCCUUGUCCUUUCCUCAUUAUUGAACAAUGUCAUUAAUAACUGCUGGCAAUCAGCCCAUGUCGGGUUAUGUGUCUGAACUAUCGAGGUGAACAGAUCGGUCAUAGCUUGUGGUUUCUCAGUGUACGAGGAAUUGUGGGUCUUCCAAUUCAAGAGAUCGGUAGUCGUGAACGGGACAUAUACGAAGACUGGGUCAGCA
Pelobates cultripes (western spadefoot toad) is the source of this 229-nucleotide non-coding RNA. Lineage: Eukaryota; Metazoa; Chordata; Amphibia; Anura; Pelobatidae. The record is from the annotation of a GenBank genome assembly.